Molecule: long non-coding RNA, 272 nt
Organism: Capra hircus (goat)
Lineage: Eukaryota; Metazoa; Chordata; Mammalia; Artiodactyla; Bovidae
Exons: 2
Source: RefSeq, a predicted model, not a curated record
UCUUCCCUCAGGCCAUUAGCCAUGCCAGGCAGAAUACAUCUUCCUGCUCCCCUUCUAACUCAGGCAUCCCAUAGGAGGCAGAGAUGAUCAGGCUGCUGGUGACAGAGGAAACCGAGCAAGGGGAUGGAGAGCUCCACGCGCGCCCUGCCACUCCUGCACAGAACAGCCACCAUGGCCGGAUCCUUCUGAGGCUGGUGGAGAGGAAUUGCUGAUAUAAGAAAAGCACAUACCGUUCUGUAUAUGCUUGAGAAUAACUUGUCUCUUCUCCUUCA